GACCUGUUAGUGCAGUUGGUCAGAGUGUGGUGCUAAUAACGCCAAGGUCGUGGGUUCGAUCCCCGUAUGGGCCA
Molecule: non-coding RNA, 74 nt
Organism: Sinocyclocheilus grahami
Lineage: Eukaryota; Metazoa; Chordata; Actinopteri; Cypriniformes; Cyprinidae
Source: the annotation of a RefSeq genome assembly